GCAAAAGGGCAAAAAACAUCAACCCUUCAUCGCGUUUGAAAUUGGCCUUCCAUUCGUGGCAGAAUCUGGUUGUUGGUCCGAGACCUGGUUGGGUCUUCCCCUGAGCUCAUUGUUUGUGCGAAUCGCGGAUCGUGAACUUGUGAAAAUUUUUCGCUUGCUGCCGUGAUCGUGUUGUGCCUGGGUCGGAAUCUAACUGGCCUGUUUGAAAGUGGAUAAUGAUUUUUGCCGUCGUGGUGCUUCAGUUCAUAACAAGGAAAAGCCAGCUCCUGGGAGAUUCCACCUUUUUUCUUAUGAGACAAAAACAGGGACACUAGGAGGCAACCGAUUGCGCCAGUAGUGUUCAGUUCGAAUCUACGAAUCGAAGCAACUGGACAAGUGAAUUUCCGCUACGGUAGAAACCAAAGAAAAUAGUAAUUCAAGUGGAACAAAACAUUGGUUUAGUACUGUGUUUAGAGUGGAAUUCAGUGUGCAGCACGAAGUGAAAACAAGCGGAAAAAUACAAGAACCAAUAUGAGUGAAAUUUCCUGCAAAGGUAGUCCCACAUCGAGCGCUAGCGCACGAAUAAGUUUGGUCACAGACGAAAGUCACUUCAGCUUGGCCAGCCUCAACUCCACCGUCAGUCAGGAUGAAUUCUUCAGGUGCAGAGAACACUCCGACUUGGUGCUCAAACGGAUGCAAGAAUAUCUGCAGAACGAGAAACUGUGCGAUGUGAUCUUGGUGGCCGGAUUAGACGGCAAACGCGUACCUGCCCAUCGUCUGGUACUAUCCGCCUCCUCGGCCUACUUCAGUGCGAUGUUUACCGGCCAACUGCGCGAAAGUCAACAGGAAGAGAUAACACUGCAGGAAGUGUCCGGUGAAGCCCUCCAGCUGCUCAUCCAGUACUGCUACACGGGAGCAAUCGAGCUGCGCGAGGACACUGUCGAAACGUUACUCGCAACCGCCUGUCUGCUCCAGCUGAGCACAAUCGUCAAUGCGUGCUGUACUUUCCUGGCCCGCCAACUGCAUCCGUCCAAUUGUCUCGGGUUUUCGCUGUUUGCUGAACAGCAAGGAUGUACUGCACUGGUAAAAAUUGCCUCCGCCUAUACCUGCCAGCAUUUUAUGCAAGUCUGGAAGAAUCAGGAAUUUUUCCAGCUGGACUCGGUUCAGCUGUCAAAUCUGCUGCAGAGUGACGAUUUGAAUGUUCCUAACGAGCAGGAAGUAUUCCAUGCGCUGAUGGCAUGGAUUCAGUUCGAUUCGGAGAAUCGGAAAAAGUACAUUCCCGAAUUGUUGGCGUUGAUUCGGUUGCCACUACUGCAACCAUCGUUCAUCGUCGAUCACGUAGAAGCCCUCUGUGGUGCUAAUGAGUGUCAGCAACUCGUAAUGGAAGCAUUUAAGUGGCAUCUAAUCCCUGGCAGGAGGUCGCAGAUAUCAACACAACGCACUAGACCCAGGAAGUCGACCAUUGGAAAGCUGUUGGCAGUUGGUGGAAUGGAUGGUCAUAAAGGAGCAAUUAGCAUAGAGAGCUACGAGCCACGUCUAGAUAAAUGGACUCUGCUGAAAAACAUGCCGGCGAGGCGGUUGCAGUUCGGGGUAGCAGUGAUGGAUGAUAAGCUGAUAAUCGUUGGAGGUAGAGACGGCCUAAAGACACUUAAUACAGUGGAAUGUUUCGAUUUGACAACGAUGACUUGGGGUUCGAUAGUACCACCGAUGGGAACGCCUAGACAUGGAUUAGGAGUGGCAUUUUUGGAAGGGCCUUUGUACGCGGUAGGUGGUCACGAUGGUUGGAGCUAUCUGGCCACGGUUGAGCGAUGGGAUCCGGCGGCACGUUCUUGGAGCUACGUAGCACCGAUGGCAUCGAUGAGAUCCACUGCCGGUGUGGCAGUACUCGGUGGGCGUCUGUUUGUGAUUGGGGGAAGGGACGGCAGCGUUUGUCAUCGGACAGUUGAGUGCUAUGAUCCUCACACAAAUAAAUGGACGCUGCGAGCGCCGAUGAAUAAGCGUCGAGGAGGAGUGGGGGUUGGUGUCCUCAAUGGUUUCCUGUACGCUCUGGGAGGGCAUGACUGCCCGGCAAGCAAUCCGGCUGUAUGCAGGACUGAGACAGUCGAACGUUACGAUCCAACCACGGACACAUGGACGUUGAUCGCAUCUCUGAGCGUUGGACGUGAUGCAAUAGGAGUAAGCGUUCUUGGCGAUUGGCUGAUUGCCGUCGGUGGUUACGAUGGCAAUCAGUACCUGAAAACAGUCGAGCAGUACGAUACGGAGAGCAACGAGUGGCAACAGAUUGCUGCAGUCAAUUAUAGUCGUGCAGGGGCCUGCGUAGUGGCCAUACCUAACAACUUUUCAUCCACCAACGGUGGAGCGGUAGGCUCAGGAGUCACAUCAGCUUCAAUGGGCACACUGGCUACGGUGUCGUCUAACUCCUCCACAAAUACUACGGUUUAGUACAGUUUCCCAAUUAAUGCUAGUGCCGCUUUCCCUAGAAGGGCAUCCGUCGAGGCGCUUGCAAUAAUUCGGCAUCUUGCGUAACAGAGGAGCAGGUUCCUCUCGUACCGGUAAUUACUACUAUAGGCGACAGUUUAGGAUCUAUGAUUAUUACGUUUAGCAGGUGGAACAGGCUGCCCAUCCGGUAAAGAUAUGUAGGUACUAGUGUUUGCUCGAAUUGACGCCAAGUGACAAGAAAAAACUUCCCCUGUGAUCAUUUAUAUGUUUAGUUACGGUGAAGCAAAUUGUAAGCUCACAUUUAUAACGUAAAAUUCCAUUGAAAGGCGAAAUGCUAGUAGCAGCCAGCAAGCGCCUCCCAUGGAAACUUCGCGCAGUCCGUUCUUGUUCUUUCUUGAGAUUAUUUUCCAGUGAAUGCGAUGGAUGGUUGGUUAUGUAGGUAUCUAGUUCCAAAGAUUUGCUGCCAAAACCACCGUAAUACAGGGUGCGAAGUUUGAUGGGAGGUAUUUUUUUAUCUGUGAUCGGCUAACAAAAAAUUAAUGCAAAAAUAAAUUCCAAUUUCAUUUUUUUUGAUAAACUGUGUUGCCUCGUAUAUGGGGUGUUUAGGAGAUAACAAGAUUCGAUUCGAUAUUUUCAAACUCCGGUCACCCCAAACCGCGUAUACUAAAUGCUUUUCAGUGACUGUUAGGUAAGAAUCAAACAUUUGUUCUCCUGCACUAGAAACUAAGCUUUGUGCGUGAUAUUUUUUACUUUUCUAGGAGUCAGGGUAGCGAUAAAAACGAGAGCUAACUAGAAUCAAUUGUAUUAGGUCAUCGACUCCAACGUAACUAAGUUAAAACCUAAAGGCCGAGUGAAAGGUAUUAGACAAUACCUUUUAAACAAUUAACUAAAGUAUGCCUAGUAUUAGUACUGAGAAAAAAAACAGCAACCGAAGAUCCUACAGCUAUAUUUCAAAUGAAAGCCACACAGAAGAAUACUUGUUUUGAUACUAUUUAUAGCUAAAUAUUAUAUACUGGCGAUCAAUUAAUAACAAUAAUAAAAUAUUUUACUAUGAAUCUA
Molecule: RNA transcript, 3477 nt
Organism: Topomyia yanbarensis
Lineage: Eukaryota; Metazoa; Arthropoda; Insecta; Diptera; Culicidae
Gene name: kelch-like protein 5
Exons: 10
Source: RefSeq, a predicted model, not a curated record